AAGGCAUAAUACAUGCAAGUCGAACGGGAUAGAACUUAGCAAUAGGUUCUUGAGAGUGGCGCACGGGUGCGUAACACGUAUGCAACCUACCUUUAACUGGGGGAUAGCCUCUCGAAAGAGAGAUUAAUACCCCAUAGUAUAACUGAAGAGCUAUUUUUUGGUUAUUAAAGAUUUAUCGGUUAAAGAUGGGCAUGCGGCUGAUUAGGUAGUUGGUGAGGUAAUGGCCCACCAAGGCGAUGAUCGGUAGCUGUUCUGAGAGGAAGAUCAGCCACACUGGGACUGAGACACGGCCCAGACUCCUACGGGAGGCAGCAGUGGGAAUUUUGGACAAUGGGGGCAACCCUGAUCCAGCAACGCCGCGUGAAUGAAGAAGGCCUUAGGGUUGUAAAGUUCUUUUGUCGCAGAGCAAAAUGCUUGUACUAAUACUAUGAGUAGAUGAGAGUAUGCGAAGAAUAAGCACCGGCUAACUACGUG
This 474-nucleotide ribosomal RNA is filed under the name uncultured bacterium. RNAcentral's name for it is "bacterial SSU rRNA". It matches the Rfam family "Bacterial small subunit ribosomal RNA", at positions 43 to 507 of the family's 1533-position model. The record is from RNAcentral.